CAUGGUUUCUUCCAUAUGUUACUCACAAAAUGUAUUUUAAUUCUUCAAUAUUUGGUGUGAUUCUAUAUGAUGAUUUACAUUUACAGUACAGUUGGCAUUGGCUUACAAGCACCAACCCAAACAUCCUAGAGACACUGUUGUAAACAUGGGAUUUUCCAUGGAAGUUCUGAAUUAAAUCAUUCACAUAUUGACUGUAUUUGACUAUAUACUGACAGACUGGCGAUGCCAAAUGUGUCACUUUCAGAUUUCACACGCAAUUUCAGGCCACUUGUUUGAGCCCGAAACACAAUGCCCUAUGUGCAUGCCAGACACAAGUCAAUUAACUUCUUAGGUUACCCUUCUGCUGCUUUUCUUUAAGCCAGUGUACUUGGAAGCCUUUUGUAUAAUAGAGUCAAGAAGGUUAUUCUGUUGGGAAUUUCAUCUGGUUUCAGGGAGUUAAUUUUAGCGGCAUGUUGGAGGCGUCCGAUGUGAGGCUGCAUGCAGUAUCUUACUUAUUACCGAGGGGGCGAAGCCACGCACAGACUUAAAGGCUCCUGGGCAUUACAAGGGCGGCCUGAAAUCCUCCGAGCGCCACCGUAAUCCAGCUGCCAUCAUCCAUUCUGCCGUGGUUUGAGAUGAAACGUCCCAGCUGUCAUCGGCUCUUUGAGGUGGUUUUCAGGAGACACAUGGGGAUCUGCAGCCUCCUGUGAAGAAAGUGUCAUUUCCGUCUCACACGGCUUCACCGCGCUCAAGUAGAGAAGACGGUUCAAAUCAAGGAGGUCUGUGAUACCUGGAAAGAGCUAUCCGUUAGUGUUCCCAUUCAUCUCAAUGGCAGUUCCUCAUUUGGUGCAGGACCUCCAAGAAUACGCGAUUAGAAAUCUGCAAUCUGCUGCCAGGUUGUUUGAGCCAUAAAUGAGAAAAGUUUACUUCACCAAAAUACACAACUACUUUCAAAAUUCUGGAGCCAGAAGGAGUAACUGGACCAUGCUAACCAUUCCAGAUUUCCCUUCUAUAAAAUGCAACCGUUCCUGCAGAUUCUGUCUGGGCCUGCAGAUCUCCAAGUCUGGUUAUCCUGCUAACCAAAGACUGCUGUAUCAUCUGAUCCACUUCAUCUUCAUAACAAACAAAAAAGAGGCCCG
Long non-coding RNA from Cyprinus carpio (common carp), 1118 nucleotides. RefSeq lists it as uncharacterized. The record is from RefSeq and is a predicted model, not a curated record. Lineage: Eukaryota; Metazoa; Chordata; Actinopteri; Cypriniformes; Cyprinidae.